UCGAGAGGCUUCGGCAAUGGGGGAAACCCUGACCGAGCGACGCCGCGUGGAGGAUGAAGGCCUUUGGGUUGUAAACUCCUGUCAUGAGGGAAGAAACGUCACCGUUCUAAUAGGGCGGUGAUUUGACGGUACCUCAAGAGGAAGCUCCGGCUAACUCCGUGCCAGCAGCCGCGGUAAUACGGGGGGAGCAAACGUUGUUCGGAAUCACUGGGCGUAAAGGGCGCGUAGGCGGCUUCGUAAGUGGGGUGUUAAAUCUCCCGGCUCAACUGGGAGGGGUCAUGGGAAACUGGCAGGCUUGAGGGCAGCAGAGGGAAGCGGAAUUCCCGGAGUAGUGGUGAAAUGCGUAGAUACCGGGAGGAACACCAGUGGCGAAAGCGGCUUCCUGGACUGUACCUGACGCUGAGGCGCGAAAGCGUGGGGAGCAAACCGGAUUAGAUACCCGGGUAGUCCACGCCCUAAACGAUGGAUACUAGGUAUGGGGGGUAUCGACCCCUCCCGUGCCGAAGCUAACGCGAUAAGUAUCCCGCCUGGGAGUACGGCCGCAAGGCUA
This 550-nucleotide ribosomal RNA is filed under the name uncultured bacterium. Its description in RNAcentral is "bacterial SSU rRNA". It matches the Rfam family "Bacterial small subunit ribosomal RNA", at positions 355 to 896 of the family's 1533-position model. The record is from RNAcentral.